This 590-nucleotide ribosomal RNA is filed under the name uncultured bacterium. RNAcentral describes it as "partial 16S ribosomal RNA". It matches the Rfam family "Bacterial small subunit ribosomal RNA", at positions 355 to 1375 of the family's 1533-position model. The record is from RNAcentral.
UGGGGAAUUUUGGACAAUGGGCGAAAGCCUGAUCCAGCAAUGCCGCGUGUGUGAAGAAGGCCUUCGGGUUGUAAAGCACUUUUGUCCGGAAAGAAAUCCUCUGGGUUAAUACCUCGGGGGGAUGACGGUACCGGAAGAAUAAGCACCGGCUAACUACGUGCCAGCAGCCGCGGUAAUACGUAGGGUGCAAGCGUUAAUCGGAAUUACUGGGCGUAAAGCGUGCGCAGGCGGUUUUUGCAAGACGGAUGUGAAAAUCCCCCGGGGCUUAACCUGGGGAACUGCAUUCGUGACUGCAAGGCUAGAGUAUGGCAGAGGGGGGUAAAUUCCACGUGUAGCAGUGAAAUGCGUAGAGAUGUGGAGGAAUACCGAUGGCGAAGGCAGCCCCCUGGGCCAAUACUGACGCUCAUGCACGAAAGCGUGGGGAGCAAACAGGAUUAGAUACCCUGGUAGUCCACGCCCUAAAACGAUGUCAACUAGUUGUUGGGGAUUCAUUUCCUUAGUAACGUAGCUAACGCGUGAAGUUGACCGCCUGGGGAGUACGGUCGCAAGAUUAAAACUUAAAGGAAUUGACGGGGUCAUAGCUGUUUCCU